This 838-nucleotide ribosomal RNA is filed under the name uncultured bacterium. Its description in RNAcentral is "bacterial SSU rRNA". It matches the Rfam family "Bacterial small subunit ribosomal RNA", at positions 57 to 902 of the family's 1533-position model. The record is from RNAcentral.
GCAGUCGAGGGGUAUAGGUUUUCGGACCUUGAGACCGGCGCACGGGUGCGUAACGCGUAUGCAAUCUACCUUUUACAGAGGGAUAGCCCAGAGAAAUUUGGAUUAAUACCUCAUAGUAUUAUUGAAUGGCAUCAUUUAAUAAUUAAAGUUUCAACGGUAAAAGAUGAGCAUGCGUCCCAUUAGCUAGUUGGUAAGGUAACGGCUUACCAAGGCAACGAUGGGUAGGGGUCCUGAGAGGGAGAUCCCCCACACUGGUACUGAGACACGGACCAGACUCCUACGGGAGGCAGCAGUGAGGAAUAUUGGUCAAUGGGCGCAAGCCUGAACCAGCCAUGCCGCGUGCAGGAUGAAGCAUCUAUGGUGUGUAAACUGCUUUUGUACGAGAAGAAACACUCCUUCGUGAAGGAGCUUGACGGUAUCGUAAGAAUAAGGACCGGCUAACUCCGUGCCAGCAGCCGCGGUAAUACGGAGGGUCCAAGCGUUAUCCGGAAUCAUUGGGUUUAAAGGGUCCGUAGGCGGUUUAGUAAGUCAGUGGUGAAAGCCCAUCGCUCAACGGUGGAACGGCCAUUGAUACUGCUAGACUUGAAUUAUUAGGAAGUAACUAGAAUAUGUAGUGUAGCGGUGAAAUGCUUAGAGAUUACAUGGAAUACCAAUUGCGAAGGCAGGUUACUACUAAUGGAUUGACGCUGAUGGACGAAAGCGUGNGGAGCGAACAGGAUUAGAUACCCUGGUAGUCCACGCCGUAAACGAUGGAUACUAGCUGUUCGGAGCAAUCUGAGUGGCUAAGCGAAAGUGAUAAGUAUCCCACCUGGGGAGUACGUUCGCAAGAAUGAAACUC